Molecule: unclassified non-coding RNA, 266 nt
Filed under: Hevea brasiliensis (rubber tree)
Lineage: Eukaryota; Viridiplantae; Streptophyta; Magnoliopsida; Malpighiales; Euphorbiaceae
Source: RNAcentral
AUUUGGAUAGAGAAUUGUCAUAUGAAAAAAGAGAACGAAGGUCAGGAAGAGAUGUAAUUGAGCAUAGGUCUCCUAGGCCAAGAAAUGAUUACUCUUUUUCGGGUUCAGGUCAUCAAAGAAUGGCACAUCAGAGACCCAGUUCAAAUUUUAGUGUUGACACAGAAAGAAAAAAUGAGGCGUUCGACCCAACUGAUUCUGAAAACCGGAAGGAUAGAGAUGUUAGCAUGGAUAAAACGAAGGCAGAUGAACAGGACCUGGAAGCUAAA